RNAcentral lists this ribosomal RNA (433 nucleotides) under uncultured bacterium. RNAcentral describes it as "partial 16S ribosomal RNA". It matches the Rfam family "Bacterial small subunit ribosomal RNA", at positions 29 to 507 of the family's 1533-position model. The record is from RNAcentral.
AACGAACGCUGGCGGCAGGCCUAACACAUGCAAGUCGAGCGAACACUUCGGUUCUAGCGGCGGACGGGUGAGUAACGCGUGGGAAUGUGCCCUUCUCUACGGAAUAGCUCUGGGAAACUGGUAAUAAUACCGAAUACGCCCUAUUGGGGAAGGAUUUAUCGCAGCAGGAGCAGCCCGCGUUGGAUUAGGUGGUUGGUUGGGUAAUGGCCUAACAAGCCGACGAUUCAUAGCUGGUUUGAGAGGAUGAUCAGCCACACUGGGACUGAGACACGGCCCAGACUCCUACGGGAGGCAGCAGUGGGGAAUCUUGCACAAUGGGGGGAAUCCUGAAGUAGCCAUGCCGCGUGAAUGAUGAAGGUCUUAGGGUUGUAAAGUUCUUUCAGCUGGGAAGAUAAUGACGGUACCAGGAGAAGAAGCCCCGGCUAACUCCGUG